ACACCUCAACUCUCAUGGUUCGCCAUGAUGAGCUUGGACUUUGGGGGUCUUGCUGGCCUAUGGUCAGCUCCUCUAAAAUGAAUCAGCUUGCCAGUGUUUGGUGGCAUCACAGGUGUGAUAACUAUCUAUGCUUGUGGAUUUCCAUCAGAUAACCUUCAGUGAUGAAGGUUCGCUGGGGCUCACAAAUGUCUCUCCUCAGUGGAGACUGCUCUUUUGAAU
RNAcentral lists this unclassified non-coding RNA (219 nucleotides) under uncultured Tomentella. RNAcentral's name for it is "sequence contains ITS2". The record is from RNAcentral. Lineage: Eukaryota; Fungi; Basidiomycota; Agaricomycetes; Thelephorales; Thelephoraceae.